UACGUAGGGUGCGAGCGUUGUCCGGAAUUAUUGGGCGUAAAGAGCUCGUAGGCGGUCUGUCGCGUCGAAUGUGAAAACCCGGGGCUCAACUCCGGGCUUGCAUUCGAUACGGGCAGACUAGAGUUCGGUAGGGGAGACUGGAAUUCCUGGUGUAGCGGUGAAAUGCGCAGAUAUCAGGAGGAACACCGAUGGCGAAGGCAGGUCUCUGGGCAUUAACUGACGCUGAGGAGCGAAAGCAUGGGGAGCGAACAGG
RNAcentral lists this ribosomal RNA (253 nucleotides) under uncultured bacterium. RNAcentral's name for it is "partial 16S ribosomal RNA". It matches the Rfam family "Bacterial small subunit ribosomal RNA", at positions 524 to 776 of the family's 1533-position model. The record is from RNAcentral.